UUCCCCCUGGGCUGACCAAAAAC
This 23-nucleotide non-coding RNA is filed under the name Cricetulus griseus (Chinese hamster). The record is from RNAcentral. Lineage: Eukaryota; Metazoa; Chordata; Mammalia; Rodentia; Cricetidae.